Molecule: long non-coding RNA, 578 nt
Organism: Conger conger (European conger)
Lineage: Eukaryota; Metazoa; Chordata; Actinopteri; Anguilliformes; Congridae
Exons: 3
Source: RefSeq, a predicted model, not a curated record
AGGCCACUGAUUUUCAGCACCUGUCCCAUGCUUCUCACAACGUGUGUGUGCAGCCAGUGGAAGGAAGCUGCUGAUCAUUCUUCUGGUAUGGAGAUGUGAGCGGGUACUGUUUCCUGGGAGACUGCUGGGGAUGUUUUUCAUUGAGAGGACAACAGCAGAGUGGAAGUGUGUGGCAAUCGCUGUUCCUCUGGUGUUCUUUUUCAUGUUUCUUUUGUUUGAUUUUGUUUCCAAGUGUUUAAUCCUUUUUGCUAGCCAGCGCCCAUGAUAAUGCUGAUUAGUUGAUCAGCCUGUGUUCACUUAGUACUCUGGCCUGUGGCGGCGCUGGUUAGUAGCUUUGUAUAUUUGUUUGCCAGGCUAACCCAGCGCCGGAUAUAUGCAUGUUGGGAGGAAGAGGAGGGCUAAUGUUUGCAGUGCCACAUUGUGUGAAGAUUUGAACUUGGUUCUUUGUUUGCACCUGAUCAUCCUUUAUGUGUGGGGUGUUUCUGACCGACAGUGUGUUUAACCCCUUGCUCUGCCUCAGAAGAGUAAAAUAAUUGUUUUAAGUUUGGGGUUAGUCGGUUAACUGUGGGGAAGUUUUA